RNAcentral lists this ribosomal RNA (460 nucleotides) under uncultured bacterium. RNAcentral's name for it is "partial 16S ribosomal RNA". It matches the Rfam family "Bacterial small subunit ribosomal RNA", at positions 338 to 795 of the family's 1533-position model. The record is from RNAcentral.
CCUACGGGCGGCAGCAGUGAGGAAUAUUGGUCAAUGGGCGAGAGCCUUAACCAGCCAAGUCGCGUGAAGGAUGACGGCCCUACGGGUUGUAAACUUCUUUUGUCAGGGAGCAAUUGAGUCCACGUGUGGGCUUAGCGAGAGUACCUGAAGAAAAGGCAUCGGCUAACUCCGUGCCAGCAGCCGCGGUAAUACGGGGGAUGCGAGCGUUAUCCGGAUUUAUUGGGUUUAAGGGGUGCGUAGGCGGAAUAUCAAGUCAGCGGGAAAAAUUCGGGGCUAAACCCCGUCGUGCCGUUGAAACUGGUGUUCUUGAGUGGGCGAGAAGUAUGCGGAAUGCGUGGUGUAGCGGUGAAAUGCAUAGAUAUCACGCAGAACUCCGAUUGCGAAGGCAGCAUACCGGCGCCCAACUGACGCUGAAGCACGAAAGCGUGGGUAUCGAACAGGAUUAGAUACCCGUGUAGUC